GUAGGUGGCAAGCGUUGUCCGGAAUUAUUGGGCGUAAAGCGCGCGCAGGCGGUUCUUUAAGUCUGAUGUGAAAGCCCACGGCUCAACCGUGGAGGGUCAUUGGAAACUGGAGAACUUGAGUACAGAAGAGGAAAGCGGAAUUCCACGUGUAGCGGUGAAAUGCGUAGAGAUGUGGAGGAACACCAGUGGCGAAGGCGGCUUUCUGGUCUGUAACUGACGCUGAGGCGCGAAAGCGUGGGGAGCAAACAGGGAUUAGAUACCCUGGUAGUCCACGCCGUAAACGAUGAGUGCUAAGUGUUAGGGGGGUUUCCGCCCCCUUAGUGCUGCAGCUAACGCAUUAAGCACUCCGCCUGGGGAGUACGGCCGCGAGGCUG
RNAcentral lists this ribosomal RNA (374 nucleotides) under uncultured organism. Its description in RNAcentral is "partial 16S ribosomal RNA". It matches the Rfam family "Bacterial small subunit ribosomal RNA", at positions 527 to 896 of the family's 1533-position model. The record is from RNAcentral.